This 84-nucleotide transfer RNA is filed under the name Phialocephala subalpina. It matches the Rfam family "tRNA". From Rfam's summary of the family: Transfer RNA (tRNA) molecules are approximately 80 nucleotides in length. Their secondary structure includes four short double-helical elements and three loops (D, anti-codon, and T loops). Further hydrogen bonds mediate the characteristic L-shaped molecular structure. tRNAs have two regions of fundamental functional importance: the anti-codon, which is responsible for specific mRNA codon recognition, and the 3' end, to which the tRNAs corresponding amino acid is attached (by aminoacyl-tRNA synthetases). tRNAs cope with the degeneracy of the genetic code in two manners: having more than one tRNA (with a specific anti-codon) for a particular amino acid; and 'wobble' base-pairing, i.e. permitting non-standard base-pairing at the 3rd anti-codon position. The record is from Rfam by way of RNAcentral. Lineage: Eukaryota; Fungi; Ascomycota; Leotiomycetes; Helotiales; Mollisiaceae.
GGCACUUUAGUGUAGAGGUUUAGCACGUCGAUUCUGACUGUAAGAAGCGUUUCGGAUUCCUGGGUUCGACUCCCAGAAGAGCCU